GACGAACGCUGGCGGCGUGCCUAAUACAUGCAAGUAGAACGCUGAAGCUUGGUGCUUGCACCGAGCGGAUGAGUUGCGAACGGGUGAGUAACGCGUAGGUAACCUGCCUGGUAGCGGGGGAUAACUAUUGGAAACGAUAGCUAAUACCGCAUAAAAUGGAUUAUCGCAUGAUAAUCCAUUGAAAGGUGCAAAUGCAUCACUACCAGAUGGACCUGCGUUGUAUUAGCUAGUUGGUGGGGUAACGGCUCACCAAGGCGACGAUACAUAGCCGACCUGAGAGGGUGAUCGGCCACACUGGGACUGAGACACGGCCCAGACUCCUACGGGAGGCAGCAGUAGGGAAUCUUCGGCAAUGGACGGAAGUCUGACCGAGCAACGCGGCGUGAGUGAAGAAGGUUUUCGGAUCGUAAAGCUCUGUUGUAAGAGAAGAACGAGUGUGAGAGGGAAAGUUCACAC
Molecule: ribosomal RNA, 456 nt
Filed under: Streptococcus sp. oral taxon 070
Lineage: Bacteria; Bacillati; Bacillota; Bacilli; Lactobacillales; Streptococcaceae
Description: bacterial SSU rRNA
Rfam family: Bacterial small subunit ribosomal RNA
Source: RNAcentral